This is a long non-coding RNA of Oxyura jamaicensis (ruddy duck), 181 nucleotides long. RefSeq lists it as uncharacterized. Lineage: Eukaryota; Metazoa; Chordata; Aves; Anseriformes; Anatidae. The record is from RefSeq and is a predicted model, not a curated record. The transcript has 3 exons.
AAAGUCAUUUGAAAAAAAAAAAAAAAAAAAAAAAAAAAAAAAAAAAAAAGCAAAAAGAUUCACCUCUUUUAAUGCUAUGCACAAUUUUCAGGGUUCACAAUUCUUACACAAUAUUUCUCUGAUAUGCACAACCUUAUUGCAUUCUACAUACCACCUUUUUUUCUACAAGAGAAGUUGAAGU